GGUCCCAUAGUUCAACGGAUAGAAUAGAAGUUUCCUAAACUUUUGAUACAGGUUCGAUUCCUGUUGGGGCCA
RNAcentral lists this transfer RNA (72 nucleotides) under Saprospiraceae bacterium. RNAcentral's name for it is "tRNA-Arg". It matches the Rfam family "tRNA". From Rfam's summary of the family: Transfer RNA (tRNA) molecules are approximately 80 nucleotides in length. Their secondary structure includes four short double-helical elements and three loops (D, anti-codon, and T loops). The record is from RNAcentral. Lineage: Bacteria; Pseudomonadati; Bacteroidota; Saprospiria; Saprospirales; Saprospiraceae. RNAcentral also lists the same sequence under 1 other name.